CUUUUGAGUAUAAUUUAAGGUCUGGCCUGCCCACUGAGGAGUUAAAUGGCCGCGGUAUUUUGACCGUGCAAVGGUAGCAUAAUCAUUAGUUUUUUAAUUGAAAGCUGGAAUGAAAGGUUUGAUKAAAANAUAACUGUCUCUAUUUUAACUUUAUVGAAUUUUAUUUUUAAGUAAAAAAGCUUAAAUAUUUAUAGAAGACGAGAAGACCCUAUAGAGUUUUAUAUUUAUUUAUAAUAAGCUUUUUAGAAUUAUAAAUCUAAUUAUAAUUAAAUAUUUGGUUGGGGUGAUUGAAAAAUUAAAUUAACUUUUUUUUUAUUAAUACAUUUAUUUAUGAAUAUUUGAUCCUAAAUUBUAGAUUACAAGAUAAAAUUACCUUAGGGAUAACAGCGUAAUUUUUUUUAAGAGUUCUAAUCGAAVAAAAAGGUUGCSACCUCGAUGUUGGAUUAAAGUUAAUUUUUGGUGUAGAAGCUAAG
RNAcentral lists this ribosomal RNA (473 nucleotides) under Tychius cuprifer. RNAcentral describes it as "partial 16S ribosomal RNA". Lineage: Eukaryota; Metazoa; Arthropoda; Insecta; Coleoptera; Curculionidae. The record is from RNAcentral.